CAGUAGCCGCGGGAAUACGUAGGGUCCGAGCGUUGUCCGGAAUUACUGGGCGUAAAGAGCUCGUAGGUGGUUUGUCGCGUUGUUCGUGAAAACUCACAGCUCAACUGUGGGCGUGCGGGCGAUACGGGCAGACUAGAGUACUGCAGGGGAGACUGGAAUUCCUGGUGUAGCGGUGGAAUGCGCAGAUAUCAGGAGGAACACCGGUGGCGAAGGCGGGUCUCUGGGCAGUAACUGACGCUGAGGAGCGAAAGCGUGGGGAGCGAACAGGAUUAGAUACCCCGGUAGUCCCUGUCUCUUAUAC
Molecule: ribosomal RNA, 301 nt
Filed under: uncultured bacterium
Lineage: Bacteria
Description: partial 16S ribosomal RNA
Rfam family: Bacterial small subunit ribosomal RNA
Source: RNAcentral